UACAGACCAAGUUGUUAAGAGCUAUUGGCGGAUGCCUUGGCAUUGACAGGCGAUGAAGGAUGCGUUUACCUGCAGUAAUCUUCGGCGAGCUGGUAUAAAGCUAUGACCCGGAGGUAUCCGAAUGGGGCAACCCGGUAGAUUAAUCGUCUACCAUUAUAUGCUGAAUACAUAGGCAUAUAAAGCGACACCUGCUGAACUGAAACAUCUUAGUAAGCAGAGGAAAAUAAAUCAAAGAGAUUCCCUAAGUAGCGGCGAGCGAAAGGGGAGAAGACCAAACCACAUCAUUGGUGUGGGGUUGUAGGGUCGAUAACAUGAGAUCUUAAGUUUUAGUUGAAUACUUCUGGAAAGUAGAACGAUACAGGGUGAUAGUCCCGUAAGCGAAAGAACAAGAGACUCUAUUCGAUACCUGAGUAGGGCUAGACACGUGAAACCUAGUCUGAAUCUGGGGAGGCCACUCUCCAAGUCUAAAUACUAGUCAAUGACCUAUAGUGAGCCAGUACUGUGAAGGAAAGGUGAAAAGAACCCUUGUUAAGGGAGUGAAAUAGAACCUGAAACCAGUAGCUUAUAAGCGGUCGGAGACCUAUAGCUUCCUCGGAAGCGAUGGUUGACGGCGUGCCUUUUGCAUGAUGAGCCAGGGAGUUAAGUUAAACGGCGAGGUUAAGGGAUUUACAUUCCGGAGCCGAAGCGAAAGCGAGUUUUAAUAGAGCGUAUAGUCGUUUGAUUUAGACACGAAACCAAGUGAGCUAUUUAUGACCAGGUUGAAGCAUGGGUAAGACCUUGUGGAGGACCGAACCAGUACAUGUUGAAAAAUGUUUGGAUGAGUUGCGAAUAGGGGUGAAAGGCCAAUCAAACUUGGAGAUAUCUUGUUCUCUCCGAAAUAACUCUAGGGUUAGCCUCGGAUAUUAAGCUUUUGGGGGUAGAGCACUGAAUUCUAGCGGGGGCCUACCGGCUUACCAACGGAAAUCAAACUCCGAAUACCAAAAGCGAGUCCGGGAGAUAGACAGCGGGGGCUAAGCUUCGUUGUCGAGAGGGGAACAGCCCAGACCGCCGAUUAAGGUCCCAAAUUUUAUGCUAAGUGAGUAAGGAAGUGAUGAUUCUAAGACAGUUGGAAUGUUGGCUUAGAGGCAGCAAUCAUUUAAAGAGUACGUAACAGCUCACCAAUCGAGAAUCAUCGCGCCAAUAAUAAUCGGGGCUCAAGCAUAAAACCGACAUCGCGGGUGUAUAUUUUAUAUAUACGCGGUAGGAGAGCGUAGUAUUCAGCAGCGAAGGUAUACCGUAAGGAGUACUGGAGCGGAUACUAGUGAAGAUCCAUGGCAUAAGUAACGAUAAAGGAAGUGAAAAUCUUCCUCGCCGUAAGCACAAGGUUUCCAGGGUCAAGCUCGUCUUCCCUGGGUUAGUCGGCCCCUAAGUCGAGGCACAAAUGCGUAGACGAUGGAGUAACAGGUUAAAUAUUCCUGUACCACCUAAAACUUUAGCAAUGGAAUGACGGAGUACGUUAAGCACGCGGACGAUUGGAAAUGUCCGUAUCACAAUGAGACUGGUUAGUAGGUAAAUCCGCUAACAUAAGGUUAGGUUGUGGUUAAGGGAAAUCUUCGGAGGAACUGAUAGUGUAGCGCAAUGCUUUCAAGAAAUAAUUUCUAGCUGUUGAUGGUGACCGUACCUAAACCGACACAGGUGUGCGAGAUGAGUAUUCUAAGGCGCGCGAGAUAACUUUCGUUAAGGAACUCGGCAAAUUAUCCCCGUAACUUCGGAAGAAGGGAAGCCUUCUAGGGUGAUUACCUUUACGGUAUGAGCUCCGGGAGGCCGCAGAGAAAUGGCCCAGGCGACUGUUUAACAAAAACACAGCACUAUGCAAACCUCUAAGGGGAAGUAUAUGGUGUGACGCCUGCCCAAUGCCAAAAGGUUAAAGGAAUAUGUCAGCCGUAAGGCAAAGCAUUGAACCCAAGCCCUGGUGAAUGGCCGCCGUAACUAUAACGGUCCUAAGGUAGCGAAAUUC
RNAcentral lists this ribosomal RNA (1996 nucleotides) under uncultured Chlamydia sp. Its description in RNAcentral is "bacterial LSU rRNA". It matches the Rfam family "Bacterial large subunit ribosomal RNA", at positions 1 to 1967 of the family's 2925-position model. Lineage: Bacteria; Pseudomonadati; Chlamydiota; Chlamydiia; Chlamydiales; Chlamydiaceae. The record is from RNAcentral.